GGCCGCCUGGCGAAAUGGCAUCGCGUCUGACUACGAUUACGUCAUCAGGAGAUUGCAGGUUCGACCCCUGCGGUGGUCA
RNAcentral lists this transfer RNA (79 nucleotides) under Suillus placidus. Its description in RNAcentral is "tRNA-Arg". It matches the Rfam family "tRNA". From Rfam's summary of the family: Transfer RNA (tRNA) molecules are approximately 80 nucleotides in length. Their secondary structure includes four short double-helical elements and three loops (D, anti-codon, and T loops). Further hydrogen bonds mediate the characteristic L-shaped molecular structure. tRNAs have two regions of fundamental functional importance: the anti-codon, which is responsible for specific mRNA codon recognition, and the 3' end, to which the tRNAs corresponding amino acid is attached (by aminoacyl-tRNA synthetases). tRNAs cope with the degeneracy of the genetic code in two manners: having more than one tRNA (with a specific anti-codon) for a particular amino acid; and 'wobble' base-pairing, i.e. permitting non-standard base-pairing at the 3rd anti-codon position. The record is from RNAcentral. Lineage: Eukaryota; Fungi; Basidiomycota; Agaricomycetes; Boletales; Suillaceae.